AUUGAACGCUGGCGGCAUGCCUAACACAUGCAAGUCGAACGGCAGCACGGGAGCUUGCUCCUGGUGGCGAGUGGCGGACGGGUGAGUAAUGCAUAGGAAUCUGCCCAGUAGCGGGGGACAACUUGGGGAAACUCAAGCUAAUACCGCAUGCGCCCUACGGGGGAAAGCGGGGGACCUUCGGGCCUCGCACUAUUGGAUGAGCCUAUGUCAGAUUAGCUUGUUGGUGGGGUAACGGCCUACCAAGGCGACGAUCUGUAGCUGGUCUGAGAGGACGAUCAGCCACACUGGGACUGAGACACGGCCCAGACUCCUACGGGAGGCAGCAGUGGGGAAUAUUGCACAAUGGGCGAAAGCCUGAUGCAGCAAUGCCGCGUGUGUGAAGAGGGCCUGCGGGUUGUAAAGCACUUUCAGUAGGGAGGAAACAGUAGCCGGUUAAUAUCCGGUUGCCUUGACGUUACCUACAGAAGAAGCACCGGCUAACU
RNAcentral lists this ribosomal RNA (482 nucleotides) under uncultured bacterium. RNAcentral describes it as "bacterial SSU rRNA". It matches the Rfam family "Bacterial small subunit ribosomal RNA", at positions 30 to 502 of the family's 1533-position model. The record is from RNAcentral.